UAUUGCGCACUGGGGGACACCCUGACGCAGCGACGCCGCGUGAACGAUGAAGGCCUUCGGGUCGUAAAGUUCUGUCCUCAGGGAAGAAUAAAUUGACGGUACCUGAGGAGGAAGCCCCGGCUCACUACGUGCCAGCAGCCGCGGUAAUACGUAGGGGGCAAGCGUUGUCCGGAAUUAUUGGGCGUAAAGGGUGCGUAGGCGGCCUUUUAAGUCAGAUGUGAAAGGCUACGGCUUAACCGUAGUUAGCAUUUGAAACUAAAAGGCUUGAGUGCAGGAGAGGAGAGUGGAAUUCCUAGUGUAGCGGUGAAAUGCGUAGAUAUUAGGAGGAACACCAGUGGCGAAGGCGACUCUCUGGACUGCAACUGACGCUGAGGCACGAAAGCGUGGGGAGCGAAC
This 396-nucleotide ribosomal RNA is filed under the name uncultured bacterium. RNAcentral describes it as "partial 16S ribosomal RNA". It matches the Rfam family "Bacterial small subunit ribosomal RNA", at positions 362 to 773 of the family's 1533-position model. The record is from RNAcentral.